Molecule: transfer RNA, 66 nt
Filed under: Pheidole flavens
Lineage: Eukaryota; Metazoa; Arthropoda; Insecta; Hymenoptera; Formicidae
Description: tRNA-Thr
Source: RNAcentral
AGUUUUAUAGUUUAAUAAAAAAUAUUAAUUUUGUAAAUUAAUGAUAAUUCUUAUAAUUUAAAACUU